RNAcentral lists this transfer RNA (86 nucleotides) under bioreactor metagenome. Its description in RNAcentral is "tRNA-Tyr". It matches the Rfam family "tRNA". Rfam says of the family: Transfer RNA (tRNA) molecules are approximately 80 nucleotides in length. Their secondary structure includes four short double-helical elements and three loops (D, anti-codon, and T loops). The record is from RNAcentral.
GGUGGGAUUCCCGAGUUGGCCAAAGGGGGCAGACUGUAAAUCUGCUAGCACUGCUUUCGCUGGUUCGAAUCCAGCUCCCACCACCA